RNAcentral lists this ribosomal RNA (447 nucleotides) under uncultured bacterium. RNAcentral's name for it is "bacterial SSU rRNA". It matches the Rfam family "Bacterial small subunit ribosomal RNA", at positions 355 to 825 of the family's 1533-position model. The record is from RNAcentral.
UGGGGAAUUUUGGGCAAUGGGGGAAACCCUGACCCAGCAACGCCGCGUGAAGGAUGAAGUAUUUCGGUAUGUAAACUUCGAAAGAAUAGGAAGAAUAAAUGACGGUACUAUUUAUAAGGUCCGGCUAACUACGUGCCAGCAGCCGCGGUAAUACGUAGGGACCAAGCGUUGUUCGGAUUUACUGGGCGUAAAGGGCGCGUAGGCGGCAUGACAAGUCACUUGUGAAAUCUCUGGGCUUAACCCAGAACGGCCAAGUGAUACUGUCGCGCUAGAGUGCAGAAGGGGCAAUCGGAAUUCUUGGUGUAGCGGUGAAAUGCGUAGAUAUCAAGAGGAACACCUGAGGUGAAGACGGGUUGCUGGGCUGACACUGACGCUGAGGCGCGAAAGCCAGGGGAGCAAACGGGAUUAGAUACCCCUGUAGUCCCUGAGCGGGCUGGCAAGGCGCAU